Molecule: ribosomal RNA, 202 nt
Filed under: uncultured prokaryote
Description: partial 16S ribosomal RNA
Rfam family: Bacterial small subunit ribosomal RNA
Source: RNAcentral
UACAGAGGUCUCAAGCGUUGUUCGGAUUUACUGGGCGUAAAGGGCGCGUAGGCGGCCACGACAAGUCACUUGUGAAAUCUCCGGGCUUAACCCGGAACGGUCAAGUGAUACUGUCGGGCUAGAGUGCAGAAGGGGCAACUGGAAUUCUCGGUGUAGCAGUGAAAUGCGUAGAGAUGUGGAGGAACACCGAUGGCGAAGGCAG